CGAACGAGUUCUCGUUGAUGAUCGGUGCUUGCACUGAGAUUCAACAUGGAACGAGUGGCGGACGGGUGAGUAACACGUGGGUAACCUGCCCUUAAGUGGGGGAUAACAUUUGGAAACAGAUGCUAAUACCGCAUAGAUCCAAGAACCGCAUGGUUCUUGGCUGAAAGAUGGCGUAAGCUAUCGCUUUUGGAUGGACCCGCGGCGUAUUAGCUAGUUGGUGAGGUAAUGGCUCACCAAGGCGAUGAUACGUAGCCGAACUGAGAGGUUGAUCGGCCACAUUGGGACUGAGACACGGCCCAAACUCCUACGGGAGGCAGCAGUAGGGAAUCUUCCACAAUGGACGCAAGUCUGAUGGAGCAACGCCGCGUGAGUGAAGAAGGCUUUCGGGUCGUAAAACUCUGUUGUUGGAGAAGAAUGGUCGGCAGAGUAACUGUUGUCGGCGUGACGGUAUCCAACCAGAAAGCCACGGCUAACUACGUGCCAGCAGCCGCGGUAAUACGUAGGUGGCAAGCGUUAUCCGGAUUUAUUGGGCGUAAAGCGAGCGCAGGCGGUUUUUUAAGUCUGAUGUGAAAGCCCUCGGCUUAACCGAGGAAGCGCAUCGGAAACUGGGAAACUUGAGUGCAGAAGAGGACAGUGGAACUCCAUGUGUAGCGGUGAAAUGCGUAGAUAUAUGGAAGAACACCAGUGGCGAAGGCGGCUGUCUGGUCUGUAACUGACGCUGAGGCUCGAAAGCAUGGGUAGCGAACAGGAUUAGAUACCCUGGUAGUCCAUGCC
Molecule: ribosomal RNA, 774 nt
Filed under: uncultured bacterium
Lineage: Bacteria
Description: bacterial SSU rRNA
Rfam family: Bacterial small subunit ribosomal RNA
Source: RNAcentral